AGAAAACAGGAUGCACCUGUGGCUAUCAGCUGACAAACAACUCAGAGACCCUGUGGGGGCUAGGCCCCAACACCAAGGAAUUGAAGGAUCUCUACAAUAACAAUACUAAACCUCUGGAAAAAAAUACAGAGAAAGACACUAUGAAAUGGAAAGACAUUUCAGGCUCAUAGAUUAAUAUAAUUAAUAUUUUAAAGAUGACCAUUCUACCAAAAGCUAUUUACAUAUUCAAUGUAAUAUCAUACAACAUCUGCAUAUUAUUCUUUACAGAAAUAGGAAACAUUGUAAAAAAUUCACAUGAAACAACAAAGGACCCCGAUAUACAAAACAAUCCUGAACAAAAAGAGCAAUGUUUGGGGGAUUACCAUUCUACAUUUUAAAAUACAUUGUAGAACCAUAGACAAAAGCAAUAUUGACUGACUCCCAAACAAACACAUAGAGCAAAAUCAAAGACCCAAACAUGAGUAAACAUAACUUCAGUCAAUUUUUAUUUGACAAAAAUGCAAAAGAAGAGAUAAGCUGGAGAAAAUAAACCAGCUUCAACAAAAGGUGCUUGGAAAACUAGUUGCCCACAUGCAGAAGAAUUAAAUUAGUCCUGUAUUUAUCACCUUGCACAAAAACUAACCCAUGAAUUAAAGACCUAACCAUGGAACUUGAAACAAUGUAACUCUUAAAAGAAAACAAACAUGGUACAUACAUGAUAUAAGUGUAGAAAAGGACUUUAUGAAUAGAAUUCCAUUUGCCUAAGAAUAUAGGCCUACAAUUGACAUGGGACUUCAUAAAAUUAAGAAUCUUGUACACAGCCUAAGAAACAGCUCUCCUGAUGAAAAGGAAACUCAGAAAAUAGGAGAAUUGUUGCUAUCUAUGCAUCUGACAGAAGAUUAAAAUCCGGAAUAAAUAGAACUAAAGAAAUCGUGAAGAAUACAAAAACAAAUGUCUUAUUCAAAAAUUGGCCUAGAAAGUGAGCAGAGUUCUCAAAAGAAGAUUAAAAAAGAACAUCUCAAAAAAUUCAUCACCCCUAGCAAUUAAGGACAUGCAAAUUGAAACACCUGAAAGUUUUCAUCUUACUGCAGUUAGAAUGGCAAGGGCAAAGAAAACAACAACAAAUGCUGGGGAGGAUGUGAGGAAAUGGAACCUUAGGUCACUGUAGGUGGGGCUGGAAACUGAAUCAGUCACUGUGGAAAUCAGUGUGGAGAAUUCUCAAACAGAUAAAAGUAUCUCUACCGUAUGACCCAUCUCUACAACUUCCUGGCAUAAACACAAACGACUUGACAUCCUACUCCACAGAUAUGUACUCAGUCAAAUUCACAGCUGCCGCAUUCACAAUAGUUAGGAAAUGGAAACAACCUAAAUGUCCAUCAACUGAUCCAACAUACGGACAAUGAGAAUGUAGUACAUAUACACACAAUGGCAUACUAUACAGUAAUUUAAAUCAGGAAAUUUGCAGAUGGAUGGAUGUGACUAGAAAAUAUAUUAAGUGAGGUGACUCAGACGCAGAAAGAUAAAUGUCACAUAUUCUCUCUCAUUUGAUUUUUCUAGCUUCAAAUCUUUAAGUAUAAGUGUAUAACCUGAGGCAACUCUAAAAACACAGAAAGUAAAAUGGGACCUGGGGGCUCUAGAGAGGAGAAUAGCAAGAUACAGGGGAUCUUAAGGGGAAAAUCAGAAAGACCUGGAGUGUGAGCUUUAAUUGCCAAGGCAGAAGGAAGGCAAUACUGAGGGAGCAAGAAGGAUAAGUAAACACUAAGGAUGCUCAAAAAAACAUAGGAAACAUUAUUUGAUAUUUACUGAACUUAAAAUUUCAUGUAAUACACUCACAUAAAGUUACACCCCUUGGGGAUAAUAAUAUGCCUCCAAAGAGCCUUGGUCUAACAAAACCUCAGUACCAAGUGUAAGAAUCCUCCUGUCAAGUUAUUGGACAGGAGUUUUGUUUUCUAAAAACAGCAUAGGCUAUUGCUGUUGUCCUUCAUUAUAAGUAAGUCCCUACUGCAAAAGACCACCCCAACUCUACCCCCUACUCCACCCGACUUCAGGGAGACAUAUGAUGGUUCUAACCUCAAAUCCUCCUCCCUGAGCUUUAGCUUUCAUAGAACUAGAAGGUGAUUUACUACACCCAUGAAAUCUCAACAACAUGGCUCUACCUAUACAAGACCUGAAAAUUUCCAACACUAAGGACAUCCCAGCAGGUAUGUGGGGAACUCUCACUAGUCUGUACCUCUAGAUCAAGAGCUAUAAACAAUUAACAACCGCUGAGAAAAAAUGAGGAUUAGUCUUCUUCUCCAGGAAAGCACCCUCUGAUUGUUAUCCAAUAUCAAAUGGUCAGCUCUAGAAACAUAUACAUACACAGCACACCAAAUGGAGUCAGCAGGUUGUAUUUAUAUGUUUAUCCAUGUGUGGCAUGCAACAACAAUGGCUAAAGAAAAGGCUGUGAAUUUGAGAAGGAGCAGGGGAAAGAGCAGACAUGGGAGAGGCAGGAGGGUGAAGUGGGAGGGGAAGAUUAGGUAAAUAUACUUUAAGGUUUUAGAUAAAGGGUCAUUUUAAGACAUAAAAUAAUAGUUCGAUUAUUUUUCAAAGAACAAAUUAGGAAAAUCUUUUCCUGAGAUUUUUUUAAAAAUUUUUUUGUUUCAUUUUUCAUUUUAUAGACACUUUGUAAUUUACUAUCUUAAAAGAAUGGAAUGUGGGCUGGGGGUUUGCUUAAUAGUAAAUCAUUAGUCUAGCUUGGUCAGAGCCCUGGUUUCAGUUUCAGCCACCCUUUCCACACCCACACACAGACAAAAGGGUCUGUAACAAUAAUGGUAAAAGAAAAAGUGACUGAUUUGAGAAAGAGCAGGGGAGAGGGCCUAUAUUGGCAGGAUAGAGCAGAGAACAGGGGUGGGGAACAUUAUAUAAUUAUAUUUUAAUAAAUGAAAAAUGACUUAAAAAUCUCCAAGAGACACUAAGUUAGUAAGUGUGAUAGAUAUGUUAAAAAUAGAACUGCAUUAUUCCUUCCAAAUUAUCACCCUGAUUUAGAAUUUUUAUGCUUAUAUUUUCUCUCUUACAUGCAUUGAGAAUAAUACCGUCUCCUGUUCAUCAUGGUGUUCUCAGUACCUGACAAAUGAUAAGGAUGUCUUCAAACUCACAGGGAUCUGUCUGUCUCUGCCCCUUAAACGCUGUGAUUAAAGGCAUGUGCUACCACACCCAGGUUGGACUACAAAUUUAUUAAGCAUCUUGAUUCCAGUGAAACAGAACAUGCUCUCAGCUUGUUUAUAUGGUGGAUUACGUUGAUGGAUUUUCGUAUGUUGAACCAUCCCUGC
Mesocricetus auratus (golden hamster) is the source of this 3287-nucleotide long non-coding RNA. RefSeq lists it as uncharacterized. NCBI's taxonomy places the organism in Eukaryota, Metazoa, Chordata, Mammalia, Rodentia, Cricetidae. The record is from RefSeq and is a predicted model, not a curated record. The transcript has 3 exons.